Anthonomus grandis grandis is the source of this 1097-nucleotide long non-coding RNA. RefSeq lists it as uncharacterized. The record is from RefSeq and is a predicted model, not a curated record. The transcript has 3 exons. Lineage: Eukaryota; Metazoa; Arthropoda; Insecta; Coleoptera; Curculionidae.
AACCUAGUAUAUAAAAGAUGAAUAAUCAUAAGACACCAAUUUUUUUCAAAAGUUUGUUGUCGCCGCUGUUUGGAAUAUGCUAAACAAAAAUAAACAAAAAUGACGUCAUUACAAAUGGGCAUAAUUUCGACUUUACACCCCCUCCGAUAUACCCACUGAGUGCACUGAACAGGUAACACCAUCCAAACUGCAGAAAUAAUCAAUAGUGGUCGAUGAAGAGGACGAAAUACGAGUGGGUGCAUUAACAUGCAUGGUGAGUGCAAAUGAUUUGAAGAUUCCAUCAAGAGAAAUUCUUUGUGACCAUGUAAGAGCCUUAGAACGCUUUGCUACACUGUCAUUUUUUUGAAUACUAGUACAACUUAUGAUCGGAGCUACUCUGUAUUCUAUCAAUGGCUGCAAUACAUUAGUGACAUAACAAAAGAAAUACAUGAUCAAACCAAUGCACGAAAACAGGGAACUAAGCCAGGAUUAUAGGGCAAUCAAGGUUAUUUGAUAUAUUCAAGAACCCAAUAUUCUGAAUUUGCUGUAAGAAAAAAACCACUGAGCUUUGUAAUUGUGCCUCUUGAACCUGCAAAUAUUAUCGCUCUCUUGAUGCAUUAAUUGAUUGCGGUUUUACAGCAUGAUGAAAAGCAAUAAUUUCGAGGCUAUAAAUAUUUACAUUGUCUGAAAAUCGCAAUGAGAAUUUGUAGUUUAAACAUGGCAUAGAAGUAUGUAGUAAACAACACAAAUAAUGCCAUGAAAUUUCUUAUGUACUAUAAGAGAAUGUUGAGCAGAUCAUAGGGACUAGCGAUGCCAAUAACACCGACUGCUGCCCUAGAUAUCCUGUCACGGUUAACGAGCUGAAGCAAUAUCAGGGGCAAAAAGGCUAGUGGCGAUUGGCGAAACGAUCUUAACGAAAGUUGGGCACAAUAUCCUAUUCGACAAGAUACAGGCACAUUCGGCUUAUGGUACUAAGAACGGACAAAUCUAAGUUCACACAGCUAGACCCUUUGUAAUUUAAAAAAAAAAGAAAUAGACUACUGGGAGCGGCAGUCAUUCGGCUUAGGCAAGGCAACUACUCUAGUAUAUUGCGGCUACAUGAUCAAAGAUCGUGUAAU